This 368-nucleotide ribosomal RNA is filed under the name uncultured Desulfocapsa sp. RNAcentral describes it as "bacterial SSU rRNA". It matches the Rfam family "Bacterial small subunit ribosomal RNA", at positions 1013 to 1382 of the family's 1533-position model. The record is from RNAcentral. Lineage: Bacteria; Pseudomonadati; Thermodesulfobacteriota; Desulfobulbia; Desulfobulbales; Desulfocapsaceae.
UGCCUCGCAAGAGGAGUCUGGAGACAGGUGCUGCAUGGCUGUCGUCAGCUCGUGUCGUGAGAUGUUGGUUAAGUCCGCACGAGCGCAACCCUUGUCUUUAGUUGCCAUCAUUCAGUUGGGCACUCUAAAGAGACUGCCGGUGUCAAACCGGAGGAAGGUGGGGAUGACGUCAAGUCCUCAUGGCCUUUAUGACCAGGGCUACACACGUACUACAAUGGCCGGUACAAAGGGCAGCCACUUAGCGAUAAGGAGCCAAUCCCGUAAAGACCGGUCUCAGUCCGGAUUGGAGUCUGCAACUCGACUCCAUGAAGUUGGAAUCGCUAGUAAUCGCAGAUCAGCACGCUGCGGUGAAUACGUUCCCGGGCCUU